This is a long non-coding RNA of Papaver somniferum (opium poppy), 1213 nucleotides long. RefSeq lists it as uncharacterized. NCBI's taxonomy places the organism in Eukaryota, Viridiplantae, Streptophyta, Magnoliopsida, Ranunculales, Papaveraceae. The record is from RefSeq and is a predicted model, not a curated record. The transcript is spliced from 2 exons.
CAUUUUCAGUUGGCCUUAUCUUCACCCAAACGAGUGAAAGAGAAUUCAUUAUUCUCUUAUCUUUCUCGUUCCUUCUUCUUUCAUCUUCUUAUUUGUUCUUUCUUUCUUCCUCUCUGUUGGUCUCGGUUCCAAAAGUUUGAGGUUGAAUUAGUAUGAUCGAUUCUUAAUAAGCUUAGUAACAUGUUGAUUUGAGGGAGAAGGUGUUGAUGCUGCUAGCGAUGGAGUUCUGAAAGAAGCAGAAAAAGGUUAGUCGUUUUUAACAACAAUCGAUCUAAAGAUUGAACCAAUGGAUUAUGGAUCUCGAGGUAGGCAAGGCUUGUCAUCAAAAGAGGUGGGAACUCUGUAACCUUCUUGUAAUCAUUAAGUUCCUUUUCAUAUGCGAUCAUGAUGAGUCUUUAUUACUUUUGGCAUGUUUGUGUACUAUCUAUGUAAAUGCUUGUAUGUGCCUUAUUGUGCGUGUAAUAUACGUUGUAUGAUUUCCCCGCAAGGAGUGUCUGUGAUUCCCCACGGCUCUUUGCUAAGUUAAGUACGAUGGCUUCUUCCCCGUUUUAAUAUUACUUAGUAGGGUGGCUUCUUCCCCGUUACAAUAUAUUAGGAGGGAGGCUUCUUCCCCAUUUCGAUAGUAUAUACAUAAUAUAUAGUAGGGCGUCUUCUUCCCCGUUAUAAUAAUACCUAGUAGGGCGGCUUCUUCCCCGUUUCGUUAUUAUAUAUACUAUUUUAUUUUGGGAAAUCACUCGUGUGCAUAUUAUACUUGUUUGUCUAACUUUCUGAUCUUGAUGGUAAUAUUCUACACCAUAGUUUGUAUGGGAACUUUGUGUGGAUGAUAUUAUUAUUAUUGUUUAGGGUUUUUCUCGCGUCUUCUUCUCCAAUGAGUUUGACGAGGUUAGGAUAACACUUGCUUCUUGUUGCAUGAAUUGCUGAAUGCUUAGAUUCAUUACUCUUCUUUUCAAUUUAUGUUCUUAGAACUGUGAACCAUGUUAGUGAUUACUUGGAAGUUAUAUGUUUCUUUGGGCACCCUUUGGGACGAUGUGCUCACUUGUUCCCACUUAAGUUUCAGUAAUCAGAAGGAGUGAAGCGUGCGAAGAUAUUAGUUUUCGUAGCUUAGUGCUCUGCCGAAUAUAGUGUUGUCGUGUAUUUGUAUUAUAUGUAUUCUUUCUUUAUUGUGUAAAACAACACAUUUAUAUAUUUAUAUAACAUGAGAGACUUUCAAACA